GACGAACGCUGGCGGCGUGCUUAACACAUGCAAGUCGAACGGAAAGGCCUCUUUCGGGGGGUACUCGAGUGGCGAACGGGUGAGUAACACGUGAGUAACCUGCCCUUGACUUUGGGAUAACUUCAGGAAACUGGGGCUAAUACCGGAUAGGAGCUCCUGCUGCAUGGUGGGGGUUGGAAAGUUUCGGCGGUUGGGGAUGGACUCGCGGCUGAUCAGCUUGUUGGUGGGGUAGUGGCUUACCAAGGCUUUGACGGGUAGCCGGCCUGGGAGGGUGACCGGCCACAUUGGGACUGAGAUACGGCCCAGACUCCUACGGGAGGCAGCAGUGGGGAAUAUUGCACAAUGGGUGGAAGCCUGAUGCAGCAACGCCGUGUGCGGGAUGACGGCCUUCGGGUUGUAAACCGCUUUCGCUCAUGACGAAGCUUUGUGUGACGGUAGUGGGUAAAGAAGCACCGGCUAACUACGUG
RNAcentral lists this ribosomal RNA (467 nucleotides) under uncultured bacterium. RNAcentral's name for it is "partial 16S ribosomal RNA". It matches the Rfam family "Bacterial small subunit ribosomal RNA", at positions 28 to 507 of the family's 1533-position model. The record is from RNAcentral.